UAGAAGUGAGAAUGCCGGAAUGAGUAGCGCGAAUGCAGUGAGAAUCUGCAUGGCCGAAAGCCUCAGGUUUCUGGAGGAAGGUUCGUCCGCUCCAGGUUAGUCGGGAGCUAAGGUGAGGCCUAACGGCGUAGCCGAUGCACAGACGGUAGAGAUUCCGUCACCACCAAAAGAGUUAAACACAGGGACACAUUUGAAGUCUCGGAGCCGGGUGUUGGUUCCGGUAGCGAUCGAGGGAAAUUAGUACCGAAGUCCGGGAUGGAAGAUGGCGAGAAAAGCUGUGUGUAUUUCUGCGGUGCCCGUACCGCAAACCGACACAGGUAGGUAGGAAGAAGAUUCUAAGGCCAACGGGAGAAGGGUUGUUAAGGAACUCGGCAAAUUGACCCCGUAACUUCGGGAGAAGGGGUGCUCCAGAGAUGGAGCCGCAGAGAAUCGGCCCAAGCAACUGUUUACCAAAAACACAGGUUUGUGCUGAAUCGAAAGAUGACGUAUACGAGCUGACGCCUGCCCGGUGCUGGAAGGUUAAGAGGAGAUGUGCAAGCAUUGAAUCGAAGCCCCAGUGAACGGCGGCCGUAACAAUAACGGUCCUAAGGUAGCGAAAUUCCUUGUCAGGUAAGUUCUGACCCGCAUGAAAGGCGUAAUGAUUUGGGCACUGUCUCGACAGCCCGCCCGGCGAAAUUGUAGUACCGGUGAAGAUGCCGGUUACCCGCGACAAGACGGAAAGACCCCAUGGAGCUUUACUGUAGCCUAAUAUUGGGUUUCGAUGUUGCAUGCACAGGAUAGAUGGGACACUAGGAAGCAAGUGCUUUGGCAUUUGUGGAGUGGCCGUUGGGAUACCAUCCUUGCGAUAUUGGAAUUCUAACCUGCGCCUUUGAAUCAAGGCGGGGGACAUUGUUAGGUGGGCAGUUUGACUGGGGCGGUCGCCUCCUAAAGAGUAACGGAGGCGUUCAAAGGUUCGCUCAGCUUGAACGGAAAUCAAGCAAAAGAGUGCAAACGCAGAAGCGAGCCUAACUGCGAGACUGACGGGUCGAGCAGUAACGAAAGUUGGAGUUAGUGAUCCGGUGGUAUGUGAGUGGAAAUGCCAUCGCUCAACGGAUAAAAGUUACCCUGGGGAUAACAGGCUGAUCUCCCCCAAGAGUCCACAUCGACGGGGAGGUUUGGCACCUCGAUGUCGGCUCAUCGCAUCCUGGGGCUGUAUUCGGUCCCAAGGGUUUGGCUGUUCGCCAAUUAAAGCGGUACGCGAGCUGGGUUCAGAACGUCGUGAGACAGUUCGGUCCCUAUCUGUCGUGGGCGCAGGAUAUUUGAUGGGAGCUGUUCCUAGUACGAGAGGACCGGAGCGGACGUACCUCUGGCGCACCAGUUGUUCUGCCAAGGGCAUAGCUGGGCAACUAUGUACGGAUCGGAUAAACGCUGAAAGCAUCUAAGCGUGAAGCCGACCCAAAGAUAAGAUAUCCCAUUGUUUUAAACAAGUAAGACCCCUUGAAGACUACAAGGUUGAUAGGCUUGAUGUGUAAGUGGAGUGAUCCAUUCAGCAAGCAUGUACUAAUAGGUCGAGGGCUUGAUC
This 1561-nucleotide ribosomal RNA is filed under the name metagenome. Its description in RNAcentral is "bacterial LSU rRNA". It matches the Rfam family "Bacterial large subunit ribosomal RNA", at positions 1283 to 2925 of the family's 2925-position model. The record is from RNAcentral.